Molecule: ribosomal RNA, 532 nt
Filed under: uncultured bacterium
Lineage: Bacteria
Description: bacterial SSU rRNA
Rfam family: Bacterial small subunit ribosomal RNA
Source: RNAcentral
AAUAGAUACCCAGGUAGUCCACGCCGUAAACGAUGGAUACUAGCUGUCCGGGGCCCUGAGCCCUGGGCGGCCAAGCGAAAGUGAUAAGUAUCCCACCUGGGGAGUACGUCCGCAAGGAUGAAACUCAAAGGAAUUGACGGGGGCCCGCACAAGCGGUGGAGCAUGUGGUUUAAUUCGAUGAUACGCGAGGAACCUUACCAGGGCUUGAAUGCAUUAUGACAGGGGUGGAGACACCUUUUCCUUCGGGCAUUUUGCAAGGUGCUGCAUGGUUGUCGUCAGCUCGUGCCGUGAGGUGUCAGGUUAAGUCCUAUAACGAGCGCAACCCCUACCGUUAGUUGCCAGCGGGUCAUGCCGGGGACUCUAGCGGGACUGCCGGUGCAAACCGUGGGAAGUGGGGAUGACGUCAAAUCAUCACGGCCCUUACGUCCUGGGCCACACACGUGCUACAAUGGCCGGUACAGAGAGCGGCCACGCCGCAAGGCGGAGCGAAUCUACAAAACCGGUCACAGUUCGGAUCGGGGUCUGCAACCGA